This 253-nucleotide ribosomal RNA is filed under the name uncultured bacterium. RNAcentral describes it as "partial 16S ribosomal RNA". It matches the Rfam family "Bacterial small subunit ribosomal RNA", at positions 524 to 776 of the family's 1533-position model. The record is from RNAcentral.
UACGAAGGGGGCUAGCGUUGUUCGGAAUUACUGGGCGUAAAGCGCACGUAGGCGGCUUCUUAAGUCAGGGGUGAAAUCCUGGAGCUCAACUCCAGAACUGCCUUUGAUACUGAGGAUCUUGAGUUCGGGAGAGGUGAGUGGAACUGCGAGUGUAGAGGUGAAAUUCGUAGAUAUUCGCAAGAACACCAGUGGCGAAGGCGGCUCACUGGCCCGAUACUGACGCUGAGGCACGAAAGCGUGGGGAGCAAACAGG